RNAcentral lists this ribosomal RNA (427 nucleotides) under uncultured beta proteobacterium. RNAcentral describes it as "bacterial SSU rRNA". It matches the Rfam family "Bacterial small subunit ribosomal RNA", at positions 355 to 774 of the family's 1533-position model. Lineage: Bacteria; Pseudomonadati; Pseudomonadota; Betaproteobacteria. The record is from RNAcentral.
UGGGGAAUUUUGGACAAUGGGCGAAAGCCUGAUCCAGCCAUGCCGCGUGAGUGAAGAAGGCCUUCGGGUUGUAAAGCUCUUUUAGUCGGAAAGAAAGAGAUGCAAUGAAUAAUUGUGAUUUAUGACGGUACCGACAGAAAAAGCACCGGCUAACUACGUGCCAGCAGCCGCGGUAAUACGUAGGGUGCGAGCGUUAAUCGGAAUUACUGGGCGUAAAGGGGGCGCAGGCGGUUUGGCAAGUCAGAUGUGAAAGCCCCGGGCUCAACCUGGGAAUGGCGUUUGAAACUACAAGGCUAGAGUGCAGCAGAGGGGAGUGGAAUUCCAGGUGUAGCAGUGAAAUGCGUAGAGAUGGGGAAGAACACCGAUGGCGAAGGCAGCUCCCUGGGUUGACACUGACGCUCAUGCACGAAAGCGUGGGGAGCAAACA